CACCCCUGGAUCUUGCAGUUUUUAGCUGAUUCUCAAGCUCUGAGAUCUCAAGUGCCCAACCUGUUUCUUCAUCAAGAUAAUAUGAAAUAUGAGUGCCACCAUGGAGGGUAAUUGAAGCAGAAUAAAGAGGAUACUGGGGGAUGGGACAGAGGAUUCCAUCAUUCUCUGACCCGAUGAGCAACUGCAUCAUCAUGUGAACUGCUGGGCUUGCACCAUCAGUCAAGAAAAUAUCAUUUGGAUCGGCAGGGAAGCCAUCACGAGCUUCGAUACCAGAAGCAAUUGUAUCACGUAAUCCUUUGAUACCCUG
RNAcentral lists this unclassified non-coding RNA (307 nucleotides) under Hevea brasiliensis (rubber tree). The record is from RNAcentral. Lineage: Eukaryota; Viridiplantae; Streptophyta; Magnoliopsida; Malpighiales; Euphorbiaceae.